Molecule: unclassified non-coding RNA, 267 nt
Filed under: Hevea brasiliensis (rubber tree)
Lineage: Eukaryota; Viridiplantae; Streptophyta; Magnoliopsida; Malpighiales; Euphorbiaceae
Source: RNAcentral
GAGGGCAAAGAUUGUUUAAGACCUGACAAUCUCUCUCGCUUGAUAGUAUGAACCGGGCCCAUUCCGGCAACCGCUCGAUCGGGAACACGUAUUUCACCAGCGAUUGACGAUCAACAGCAGAGAUUGACUGGAAAAUGAUGCCAUUUGGUGCAAGUAGACUGAAAACUAUAGAAGCGAGAUCAGAGUCGUUUGAUUGGAGGAUGAUAUCGAUCCAACCACCGUUGGAUGACGGGAGGUAGGAUCCAUUAGGGGGCGAUGCAGCGUCCC